GACAGAGGGUGCAACCGUUGCUCGGAAUCACUGGGCGUAAAGGGCGUGUAGGCGGGAAGGAAAGUCAGAUGUGAAAUCCCUGGGCUCAACCCAGGAACUGCAUUUGAAACUCCCUUUCUUGAGUGUCGGAGAGGAAAGUGGAAUUCCUGGUGUAGAGGUGAAAUUCGUAGAUAUCAGGAGGAACACCGGUGGCGAAGGCGGCUUUCUGGACGACAACUGACGCUGAGACGCGAAAGCGUGGGGAGCAAACAGG
This 253-nucleotide ribosomal RNA is filed under the name uncultured bacterium. RNAcentral describes it as "partial 16S ribosomal RNA". It matches the Rfam family "Bacterial small subunit ribosomal RNA", at positions 524 to 776 of the family's 1533-position model. The record is from RNAcentral.